AGUGAACGCUGGCGGUAGGCCUAACACAUGCAAGUCGAACGGCAGCACAGUAAGAGCUUGCUCUUACGGGUGGCGAGUGGCGGACGGGUGAGGAAUACAUCGGAAUCUACUUUUUCGUGGGGGAUAACGUAGGGAAACUUACGCUAAUACCGCAUACGACCUACGGGUGAAAGCAGGGGAUCUUCGGACCUUGCGCGAUUGAAUGAGCCGAUGUCGGAUUAGCUAGUUGGCGGGGUAAAGGCCCACCAAGGCGACGAUCCGUAGCUGGUCUGAGAGGAUGAUAGGCCACACUGGAACUGGGACACGGUCCAGACUCCUACGGGAGGCAGCAGUGGGGAAUAUUGGACAAUGGGCGCAAGCCUGAUACAGCCAUCCCGCGUGGGUGACGAAGGCCUUCGGGUUGUAAAGCCCUUUUGUUGGGAAAGAAAAGCAGCAGGUUAAUACCCCGCUGUUCUGACGGUACCCAAAGAAUAAGCACCGGCUAACUUCGUG
RNAcentral lists this ribosomal RNA (492 nucleotides) under uncultured bacterium. RNAcentral's name for it is "partial 16S ribosomal RNA". It matches the Rfam family "Bacterial small subunit ribosomal RNA", at positions 29 to 507 of the family's 1533-position model. The record is from RNAcentral.